Molecule: ribosomal RNA, 253 nt
Filed under: uncultured bacterium
Lineage: Bacteria
Description: partial 16S ribosomal RNA
Rfam family: Bacterial small subunit ribosomal RNA
Source: RNAcentral
UACGGGGGGGGCAAGCGUUGUUCGGAGUUACUGGGCGUAAAGGGCUCGUAGGCGGCCAACUAAGUCGGACGUGAAAUCCCCAGGCUCAACCUGGGAACUGCGUCCGAUACUGGAUGGCUUGAAUCCGGGAGAGGGAUGCAGAAUUCCAGGUGUAGCGGUGAAAUGCGUAGAUAUCUGGAGGAAUACCGGUGGCGAAGGCGGCAUCCUGGACCGGCAUUGACGCUGAGGAGCGAAAGCCAGGGGAGCAAACGGG